CCCAACUGCGGUCUUUGCCCCCUUUGCAAGCAAAGUCAGGAAUCGGCAGCCCACCUACUGUUUGAAUGUCAUUUCACACUUCGCGUGUGGAAUGAUAUUCUCUAGUGGCUCGGCUCGCAGCACAUCAAUACCGCUGCUUGGACGACGAGGGUCUCGGUGAGGGAAUGGUGGACAGGAAACAUUCAUAUGCGUAGCGAAUCCCCCAAGGCGCUUGCUUCACUAAUGAUGCUCAUCUCCUGGGAGAUUUGGUCAGAGCGCAAUGCUAGAAUUUUCCGCAACACGGCCGCUCCUUUGGUGGUCCUCGUUAGAAGAUUAAAGAGGAGUUGUCUCUUUGGGCUUUGGUGGGCGCCAAGCACUUGA
RNAcentral lists this ribosomal RNA (360 nucleotides) under Triticum aestivum (bread wheat). RNAcentral's name for it is "partial small subunit ribosomal RNA". The record is from RNAcentral. Lineage: Eukaryota; Viridiplantae; Streptophyta; Magnoliopsida; Poales; Poaceae.